GCCCGGCAGAGGGGAUAUGAGACACCAUUCGCAGCCGUACGGGGUCCAGCAGCCAGGAAUAAUUUACAAUGCGAGCAAGCGGGAUAAUGUGAGCCAGAGUGACGAUCAAGGUGAAAGACUUUUGUGAUAUCUCCAAAGUCUCACGAAUAAGGACUGGCUAAGACUAGUGCCAGCCGCCGCGGUAAUACUAUCGGUCCAAGUCGCAGCCAUUUUUAUUGGGUCUAAAACAUCCGUAGCUUGUUUGAUAAGUUCUUUGAGAUCUCUUAUGUCUUAAGCAUGAGGCGGGCAAGAAGUACUGCCAAGCUAGAGACUGGAAGACGUAGGAAGUACGUUCGAAGUAACGGUAAAAUAUGUUAAUCUCGGACGGACUCACAAUAGCGAAGGCAUCUUACGAGAACAGUUCUGACAGUAAGGGAUGAAAGCUAGGGGCACAAAUCGGAUUAGAUACCCGUGUAGUCCUAGCAGUAAACACUGCACACUAAACAUUAGUACCUCUUCGAGAGGUAUUAGUGCUGUAGGGAAGCCGAAGAGUGUGCUACCUGGGAAGUAUAGUCGCAAGGCCGAAACUUAAAGGAAUUGGCGGGGGAGCACAAUCG
RNAcentral lists this ribosomal RNA (596 nucleotides) under uncultured euryarchaeote. RNAcentral's name for it is "bacterial SSU rRNA". It matches the Rfam family "Archaeal small subunit ribosomal RNA", at positions 287 to 884 of the family's 1478-position model. Lineage: Archaea; Methanobacteriati; Methanobacteriota. The record is from RNAcentral.